UAUUUCUUUCUUUUUCUUUUUCUUCUUUCUUUUUUUCUUCUUUCUUCCUCCUCCUUCUCUCGGCAACCCCCAAGGUUGAAAGCGCCGCCGCUGUACUCGUCCUCGGCUCCUCUCCGCGCUUGGUGGCCGACGAUUCCAAGUGGUGGUUUUGGUGGUUGCGGUGGCGGUGGUUGCGCGACGGUGGUGGUGAUGUCACGGUGGCGGUGCGGCGACGGGGAUGGUUACGGGAGGAGGCUUUAGGCUGCUGUUUCUUGAAUGUUUUGCUGCUGUUUUUUUUUUCAAUUUUUUUCUGCAAAAACCCCUCCGCCUCUCUUUCUCUCAUUUUCUUCAUUUAAAUCCUUCAAUUUUGUCUUCUUCCUUGUUGUCUUCAGGUGGCAGUGGAGAAGGGAGGCCAUGCAUUGGGCCGGCGGCCGAAAAUCGCGGAGGGCAGGUGCGCAAAUGGCGCCUGUUUGCCAGAGGGACCAGAUUGCAAAUGCAACAAAACUUCUGGGUCCAAGUGUAAUUUCGAGAAAAUUUAGGGGUCAAAAUAUAACUUCGAGAAGUUCAUAGGUUAAAAUGUAAUUUUAGAAAAGUUAAAGGGUCAAAACACAAUUUUAAAAAAGUUAAGGGGUUAAAAUGUAAUUUUUUUAUUUUUGUAUUUUUUGUAUUUUUUUUGAAAAUUAAAGCCGGACAAAAUUUAGUGUUUACAA
Long non-coding RNA from Gossypium raimondii (Peruvian cotton), 689 nucleotides. RefSeq lists it as uncharacterized. The transcript has 2 exons. The record is from RefSeq and is a predicted model, not a curated record. NCBI's taxonomy places the organism in Eukaryota, Viridiplantae, Streptophyta, Magnoliopsida, Malvales, Malvaceae.